Molecule: ribosomal RNA, 251 nt
Filed under: uncultured bacterium
Lineage: Bacteria
Description: partial 16S ribosomal RNA
Rfam family: Bacterial small subunit ribosomal RNA
Source: RNAcentral
GCAAGUCGAGGGGUAACAGGAGAGCUUGCUCUCGCUGACGACCGGCGCACGGGUGAGUAACGCGUAUGCAACCUACUUUUUACUGGAGAAUAGCUCCGAGAAAUCGGAAUUAAUACUCCAUAAUGUUUUUUAAAGGCAUCUUUUUAAAAUUAAAGUUCCGGCGGUAAAAAAUGGGCAUGCGUGACAUUAGUUAGUUGGUGAGGUAACGGCUCACCAAGACUACGAUGUCUAGGGGGUCUUAAAGGAUGGUC